RNAcentral lists this ribosomal RNA (253 nucleotides) under uncultured bacterium. RNAcentral's name for it is "partial 16S ribosomal RNA". It matches the Rfam family "Bacterial small subunit ribosomal RNA", at positions 524 to 776 of the family's 1533-position model. The record is from RNAcentral.
UACGUAGGUGGCAAGCGUUAUCCGGAUUUAUUGGGUGUAAAGGGCGUGUAGGCGGGAGCGCAAGUCAGAUGUGAAAACUCAGGGCUCAACCCUGAGCCUGCAUUUGAAACUGUGUUUCUUGAGUGCUGGAGAGGCAAUCGGAAUUCCGUGUGUAGCGGUGAAAUGCGUAGAUAUACGGAGGAACACCAGUGGCGAGGGCGGAUUGCUGGACAGUAACUGACGCUGAGGUGCGAAAGCGUGGGGAGCAAACAGG